This is a long non-coding RNA of Gymnogyps californianus (California condor), 463 nucleotides long. RefSeq lists it as uncharacterized. The transcript is spliced from 3 exons. The record is from RefSeq and is a predicted model, not a curated record. Lineage: Eukaryota; Metazoa; Chordata; Aves; Accipitriformes; Cathartidae.
GGGCCGCCCGCCGCCGCGCCGGCUGCCGCCAAAAGUCCUCUCCCUCCCUGUCCGCCCCCUCUCCUCUCCCCCUCGCCGCCGCCGUGCUUCGGAGCGGGUGCCGCCACCGGCAUAGGCGGUUUCGACCUUUCAAUAGAGAGCUGAUUUUGGAGAACGGCUGUGAUUGAAAAAGUCUCUCUGGAAGGUUGAUGGAGUAUGAGCAUGGUCUGAUCAGCAACUCCAGUGCAGUUUGAAAAUAUGUAAUCUGCUGGCAAUGAUGUGCCCAACCUUAAUUGGUGCUGGAGCCUUUGGAAGAGAGAUUGUGUCAUCAGACAGUAUAUAGUCCAACAAUGACUGACCUUGAUGAAUCUGUGAAAGAAGAAAAUAGUUUUCUCACGUCUUAAUUUGCAAAAUGCACAAAAGAAAAAAAAAUGGAACGUGUGGAAUUUAACCCACUGAAGUUGUUAAGAUUCUCUGAGUUUAA